This is an RNA transcript of Solanum tuberosum (potato), 1819 nucleotides long. It is a transcript of the gene named putative serine/threonine-protein kinase A, with no coding region annotated. Lineage: Eukaryota; Viridiplantae; Streptophyta; Magnoliopsida; Solanales; Solanaceae. The record is from RefSeq and is a predicted model, not a curated record. The transcript is spliced from 10 exons.
CUAACACAUUAGGUUAAAGAGGUGGUGGUGAAUUUAUUUUUAGAAUAGGAUUAUAAGCUUUCAGAUUUUUAUUCACAAAAGGGGGUUUUCCGGCCACCACCACCCCGGAUUCCGACUAAGCUCCGACAACCCAAAACCCCCCACCAACAAUAACCCACCAGCAGCUCCAAACAAACCCAGGUGCUCGUCCUCCCUAUUACCUCUUCAAACCAGUAGCUCCGGUGAGCUCGCGCCACCUCAAACCCCACCAAAUCCUCCCUCCAAAUCCACUGGAACACCAACCCAAAACCCCUUCAUUCUCCUUCUCACUGACCAGUACCCGUUGUCCGGCAACAACUCCAGAAAACAUCACCAAACCUCCAUCUCAAACCACCAGAAGACCCACUGAAACGGACCAUCAUCGCUGCCAGUCCAACGCUACCAUGAACCACCAAACGACCCCUCUUUAUUUUCCUAUCUUUUGACCUCUUCCACUGCCUCUAUUCACCACAACACCGCGAGCUUCGACUAGAGCUCGAAAUGAGCCAACCCAGCUGGUCAGCAGCUCACACGAACCAAACUCAUUUGUGCUCUUCUUCUUCAGCGCCUCCCUCCCCCUUUUUCCCUUUUAUUUUGUUUAUUUUACAGGUUAUGGAGAUCUCCGGCAAUAACACUCGAAACCACCCGAUCUUUGGCUGUGUUCCUCUGUCUCAAAUUUUCAGAUCUGGCCGGAAAAUGCAAAGUCCGGUUAUAAUCCUUUUCAUUCUUACAUCAUAUAUAUUCAUAGGUACCUCGGAGAUGCUUCCCGUUGAAGCUAUUCGAACUAGAUGGAUCUGAUAGCCAAGUUAAUCAAUCCAUAUAUCAUGGAGUACAAGGAUGCUGGGGUCGAGAAGGUAUUAUGUUAUUCAGUUUCUAGAACAGGAUUUGGAACUAAAAUGAUUAUCAUGUACUUGAGAAAAAUUCUAUAUCGAGUUGCCUCAAAACCAGAUUGACUUUGUUUUUCUUUCAGGGGAACUGGAUAUGCUAGCCUUGCUAGCAUUUUAAUACUUAUUGACAUAUUGUGAAGGGCAAAGAUCAUAAGGAAGUCUAGAGGAGAUCUCUUCCCAGAAGAGAAACUCUGCAAAUGGCUGACUUAGCUAUUACUGGCGGUAGAUUAUCUGCACUCCAACCGUGUUCUACACAGAGACGUGAAGUUAUCUAACAUUUUUGUCACAAAGCACAAUGACAUCCGACCAGGCCUUUGUAUGAAAUAACAAUUUCAACAAUUGACAAGCCCACGCUCCUCUUUCGGAUAAUUCAACUUCGAAAAGUAUGUAGUCAUCCUUACCUUUUUGGUGGUAUAGAAUCGGAACCAUAUGAAGAGGGAGAACACCUAGUUCAGGUAAAUAUUUCUAAUCUGAUAUGAGGAAGUAUUCUUAUGAGCGUAUUGAUGGUUCAAUUCGUGCGGAAGAGCGCUUCGCUGCAAUCAGGAGCUUUAGUCAUAAUAGAUCAAAGUUUGAAGCUGAACAAAAUGCAGCAUUUGUUUUCUUGAUUUCAACAAGAGCUGGUGGAGUUGGGUUGAAUCUUGUGGCUAAUAUGCAGUCAUAUUUUACGAGCAAGAUUGGAAUCCUCAGGUAGACAAGCAGACCUUGCAGCGUGCUCACCAUUUCUGGAGCUGUUCAUUUUGUUUACGGGGACUGCACCCGUCCUACUAAAGUGUCUCCAUCAGAGCCGACCAUCAUAUUCAGGUGUAUAUGAAACACUUAUCUUUUCGGGUCAAGCUUGUGAUGUUUGUCACAACUUUUAUAGAAAGUAUUUUUACUACUGUUUUAAUUGCACACGCAUGUUAAGUUUUCCAUUA